Long non-coding RNA from Passer domesticus (house sparrow), 404 nucleotides. RefSeq lists it as uncharacterized. The transcript has 3 exons. NCBI's taxonomy places the organism in Eukaryota, Metazoa, Chordata, Aves, Passeriformes, Passeridae. The record is from RefSeq and is a predicted model, not a curated record.
AUAAAAACUCUUUCAUCACUGCUCUUCUUAUGCCUUCAUUUUAAACACAGCUUUUCCAUUUCAGAUGCGAACACAUCCCAGGUUUAUCACCUCUGGUUUCUGGAAAGGGGCAUUUGUUUUGGGAAACAAGUGGAAGAGCAGCAUUCUGCCAGGAAAUGUCAUCCUAUUUCCCACUGUCACACAAAGUGCCCGAGGCUGUGAUUGAAAAAUCUUGUGAAAAGACUCAUAUUCUGUUUCUAAUCAGGAACUUAAUAAAAGCAGAAGUCAGCUGCUCUGAGGGACCCAUGUGUCCCACCUGGGAGCACAGUCCAAGUCCCUCUGGUAAGUAGCUGGCCAUGUGUGGGCACAGAUGCCACUUCUGUGCACACAGCUGCCAUGCCAAUGCCAAGAGAUGUGGUGUGUGU